Molecule: ribosomal RNA, 795 nt
Filed under: Vreelandella aquamarina
Lineage: Bacteria; Pseudomonadati; Pseudomonadota; Gammaproteobacteria; Oceanospirillales; Halomonadaceae
Description: bacterial SSU rRNA
Rfam family: Bacterial small subunit ribosomal RNA
Source: RNAcentral
GAGAGGAUGAUCAGCCACAUCGGGACUGAGACACGGCCCGAACUCCUACGGGAGGCAGCAGUGGGGAAUAUUGGACAAUGGGGGAAACCCUGAUCCAGCCAUGCCGCGUGUGUGAAGAAGGCCCUCGGGUUGUAAAGCACUUUCAGCGAGGAAGAACGCCUAGCGGUUAAUACCCGCUAGGAAAGACAUCACUCGCAGAAGAAGCACCGGCUAACUCCGUGCCAGCAGCCGCGGUAAUACGGAGGGUGCAAGCGUUAAUCGGAAUUACUGGGCGUAAAGCGCGCGUAGGUGGCUUGAUAAGCCGGUUGUGAAAGCCCCGGGCUCAACCUGGGAACGGCAUCCGGAACUGUCAAGCUAGAGUGCAGGAGAGGAAGGUAGAAUUCCCGGUGUAGCGGUGAAAUGCGUAGAGAUCGGGAGGAAUACCAGUGGCGAAGGCGGCCUUCUGGACUGACACUGACACUGAGGUGCGAAAGCGUGGGUAGCAAACAGGAUUAGAUACCCUGGUAGUCCACGCCGUAAACGAUGUCGACCAGCCGUUGGGUGCCUAGCGCACUUUGUGGCGAAGUUAACGCGAUAAGUCGACCGCCUGGGGAGUACGGCCGCAAGGUUAAAACUCAAAUGAAUUGACGGGGGCCCGCACAAGCGGUGGAGCAUGUGGUUUAAUUCGAUGCAACGCGAAGAACCUUACCUACUCUUGACAUCCUGCGAAUUUGGUAGAGAUACCUUAGUGCCUUCGGGAACGCAGAGACAGGUGCUGCAUGGCUGUCGUCAGCUCGUGUUGUGAAAUGUUGGGUU